UACGGAGGGGGCUAGCGUUGUUCGGAAUUACUGGGCGUAAAGCGCACGUAGGCGGAUGGACAAGUCAGAGGUGAAAUCCCAGGGCUCAACCUUGGAACGGCCUUUGAAACUUUCCAUCUUGAGGUCGAGAGAGGUGAGUGGAAUUCCGAGUGUAGAGGUGAAAUUCGUAGAUAUUCGGAGGAACACCAGUGGCGAAGGCGGCUCACUGGCUCGAUACUGACGCUGAGGUGCGAAAGCGUGGGGAGCAAACAGG
This 253-nucleotide ribosomal RNA is filed under the name uncultured bacterium. Its description in RNAcentral is "partial 16S ribosomal RNA". It matches the Rfam family "Bacterial small subunit ribosomal RNA", at positions 524 to 776 of the family's 1533-position model. The record is from RNAcentral. RNAcentral also lists the same sequence under 1 other name.